Molecule: ribosomal RNA, 122 nt
Filed under: uncultured bacterium
Lineage: Bacteria
Description: partial 16S ribosomal RNA
Rfam family: Bacterial small subunit ribosomal RNA
Source: RNAcentral
UACAGGAGGCAGCAGUGGGGAAUAUUGGGCAAUGGGGGAAACCCUGAUCCAGCGACACCGCGUGAGUGAAGAAUCCUCGGGAUGUAAACUCUGUUGUGUGGAACAUAAUGACGUACGCACGA